GACGAACGCUGGCGGCGUGCUUAACGCAUGCAAGUCGAACGAAGAGCGACGGAAGCUUGCUUCUAUCAAUCUUAGUGGCGAACGGGUGAGUAACGCGUAAUCAACCUGCCCUUCAGAGGGGGACAACAGUUGGAAACGACUGCUAAUACCGCAUACGAUCUAAUCUCGGCAUCGAGGAUGGAUGAAAGGUGGCCUCUACAUGUAAGCUAUCACUGAAGGAGGGGAUUGCGUCUGAUUAGCUAGUUGGAGGGGUAACGGCCCACCAAGGCGAUGAUCAGUAGCCGGUCUGAGAGGAUGAACGGCCACAUUGGGACUGAGACACGGCCCAGACUCCUACGGGAGGCAGCAGUGGGGAAUCUUCCGCAAUGGACGAAAGUCUGACGGAGCAACGCCGCGUGAGUGAUGACGGCCUUCGGGUUGUAAAGCUCUGUUAAUCGGGACGAAAGGCCUUCUUGCGAAUAGUGAGAAGGAUUGACGGUACCGGAAUAGAAAGCCACGGCUAACUACGUG
Molecule: ribosomal RNA, 510 nt
Filed under: uncultured bacterium
Lineage: Bacteria
Description: partial 16S ribosomal RNA
Rfam family: Bacterial small subunit ribosomal RNA
Source: RNAcentral